Long non-coding RNA from Nicotiana attenuata, 1253 nucleotides. RefSeq lists it as uncharacterized. NCBI's taxonomy places the organism in Eukaryota, Viridiplantae, Streptophyta, Magnoliopsida, Solanales, Solanaceae. The transcript is spliced from 2 exons. The record is from RefSeq and is a predicted model, not a curated record.
GUGGUGGAGAGCAGCUUAAGCUCAGUGGUGAAGCUUCAACAGCUGUUAAUUGUGGUUGGUUUAAGGGAAGUACAAUAUGAACAUUGGCAGGUUGGUCAACUCUCUCCAGGUUGCUUCAAAGUUCAUGCAUUUAUGUGCCGAUGUGGUUAAAUUCUAUGGGGUUCAACAUCUUGGAAGUAUGCAUACUUGUGCAUACAUCAGUGGAUGAAGAAGCUGGGUGUUGAGUGGGAAGCUCCUGUUGCAGUAAUUGAUAGAUAGCUUUACAGUCCUUUGUGGGGCUGCAGAACUGUUGGUCAACUCUUUGAUGCUAUAGAGAUAACAUCUAAUCAUCAAUUUUCAUUCUUGAUUCUAGUUCUCAUAGGAUUGUUCAUUCUUUGCUUCUUCACAUUACUUUAGAUCUUCCGUUUGUCAGAGAUAUUGUAUAUAUCUUAGACUCUACCAGAUUAGAUAGCUGCAACUUGGAUUUCUGUUUUAUUCUGUUACCAAACUCUUAGCCCUUCCAUUCAAUCUUGCAUCCUAACCAUCUCUAUCUCCUUGUAGUAUAUCAGAGUCUGCCUAAAUUGGCUGGUCGUCACCCCGUUACCUGUAUUCUUGUCAUUUUUACUUCUUUACUUUGAAUAGGAUCUAAUUCCUACUUCUUCCCCUUGACCAUUUUUCUGUUUUUUGGAAUGAAAAUUGGUAAGGGGAAUUAAUAGUUAGUUCUAUCCUUUCACCUCCUGGUCUUUGGUAUCUUCUCUUUUAGCUUUCCUCUUGUGAGUCCAAUUAUGCAUGUUAAGUGGUUUAUUCCGCCUUCUCUCAGCUAAAUUCCAUUUGCUCUGGAGAUUGAUGAUCACCUAGCUAUUCAUAAGUGCUUUUCUGUUUGAGCUGUUGGAAGAAGAUAGUUGAAGAGGCUCCUCAUCAUUGUUGAAGAUGAUCUCCUCCAUGCUUUCUCGGUGGUAGCAUUACUGGUUAUGUUUCGUUUAAUUUUUUUUAUUGGACACUUCGGUCUAUAGUUGCUUUCUUUCGACAAAACUGGUACUGUGCAGUAAUCUAGUUAUAUCAUGUUUUAGGUUUUGGAGCUUUUACUUUUGUCGUUGUACUAAGCAAUGCCGUCUUGCUUUUAAUCUAGCAGUUCGAUAAAGACUAGUUUAAUUUCUUUUGCCACAUUCGUUUGCCUUCCUAAGUGUAUGCCGCUGCUGCGACAUACUAAUAUUUUACUUGGCUCUCCUCUUUUGGAGUCGGAAUUUUUUAAUAACUUGACCGAUUUUCCUGUA